Molecule: ribosomal RNA, 817 nt
Filed under: Salmonella enterica
Lineage: Bacteria; Pseudomonadati; Pseudomonadota; Gammaproteobacteria; Enterobacterales; Enterobacteriaceae
Also listed under: 2 other names
Description: partial 23S ribosomal RNA
Rfam family: Bacterial large subunit ribosomal RNA
Source: RNAcentral
AGACCCGAAACCCGGUGAUCUAGCCAUGGGCAGGUUGAAGGUUGGGUAACACUAACUGGAGGACCGAACCGACUAAUGUUGAAAAAUUAGCGGAUGACCUGUGGCUGGGGGUGAAAGGCCAAUCAAACCGGGAGAUAGCUGGUUCUCCCCGAAAGCUAUUUAGGUAGCGCCUCGUGAAUUCAUCUCCGGGGGUAGAGCACUGUUUCGGCUAGGGGGCCAUCCCGGCUUACCAACCCGAUGCAAACUGCGAAUACCGGAGAAUGUUAUCACGGGAGACACACGGCGGGUGCUAACGUCCGUCGUGAAGAGGGAAACAACCCAGACCGCCAGCUAAGGUCCCAAAGUCAUGGUUAAGUGGGAAACGAUGUGGGAAGGCCCAGACAGCCAGGAUGUUGGCUUAGAAGCAGCCAUCAUUUAAAGAAAGCGUAAUAGCUCACUGGUCGAGUCGGCCUGCGCGGAAGAUGUAACGGGGCUAAACCAUGCACCGAAGCUGCGGCAGCGAACGUAUCACCCAAGACAACUUUACGGAGUUGACGAUUGACGGAGCGAAGCGACGUCAAAGCGUUCAUUAAAGUCGAGUUGGCUUAGGGAUACGUUCGUUGGGUAGGGGAGCGUUCUGUAAGCCUGUGAAGGUGUGUCGUGAGGCAUGCUGGAGGUAUCAGAAGUGCGAAUGCUGACAUAAGUAACGAUAAAGCGGGUGAAAAGCCCGCUCGCCGGAAGACCAAGGGUUCCUGUCCAACGUUAAUCGGGGCAGGGUGAGUCGACCCCUAAGGCGAGGCCGAAAGGCGUAGUCGAUGGGAAACGGGUUAAUAUUCCC